Molecule: small RNA, 597 nt
Filed under: pig gut metagenome
Source: RNAcentral
UAUAAGUACGUGUGGCACAUUAUUCUAGUCAAUUAAGUUUAUUACGAAGACGGGCCUAAAAAUCCGUUAAAGAGCACAACUGUGAAACACAUGGUGCUUGCUUCUUAUGCCCAAUUUGGGGCGAGUGCUGAGUGGUAAGAAAGUUGGGCGACCGUAAUGGCAUACGAUACCCGUUCCAAUUUUCAUGGAGACCUAAUCUUGUAGUAGAUCUAUACACAACAGUUGACGAAAUACUAUGACUUAGGAUUAAACCUACUAUGUAUUGAAUUUACGAGUAGUGUAGCUUGUCUUGCGUGAUGAUAGGGAAUUGUUGAUCAGCUUAUAAUAUGUUAAUAGCUAUAACUAUUUUAAGUAUUGCAACAUGAAACUAUCAUUGCAAAAAAGAAUAACUAAUAAACAAUUGGUGAGGAAAACUCCUAGAGUGUCAUAAUAUAGGAUUAUGGUGUGUACUAAGUGGCAAUCAAGUCAUAUAAUAGGCGACUUUAUAUUAUUCUCUUUAAAGGGGAACCACAUAGAUGGUAACGUCUAUGUAGAGAAUAGGGAAAUCCUACUUGACCUAAGACGCAAAGUUAACUAUAUUAAUAGCCAUAUGAUAAA